CCCCUAGACGUUCUGGGCUGCACGCGCGCUACAAUAAUACGCACAGCGAGUAUCACCGAGCUCGAAAGGGCAAGGUAAACAAUAGAAAAGGUACUGUAAUGGUUAUAGAUCCUUGUAAUUAUUGAUCUUCAACGAGGAAUUCCUAGUAGACGUAGUUCAUCAGACUGCAUCGAUUACGUCCCUGCCCUUUGUACACACCGCCCGUCGCUCCUACCGAUUGAAUGGUUCGGUGAAGAUCUCGGACUUCGAUAUUUAUUCUUUAUUGAGUUUAUAUUGUGGGAAGUUAUCUAAACCUCAUCAUUUAGAGGAAGGUGAAGUCGUAACA
Molecule: ribosomal RNA, 325 nt
Filed under: uncultured eukaryote
Lineage: Eukaryota
Description: partial 18S ribosomal RNA
Rfam family: Eukaryotic small subunit ribosomal RNA
Source: RNAcentral